UAGAUUUGUAGUAGUAGUGGUUUGUGAAAGGAGCACACAAAUUUUGAUGCGAUGGAAGGUGUGAGAGUGUGUGUUUUGAGGCGAGUGGUGUCCUGAAAACUGAAAAGCGAAAACGAAAAAGGAGUGUGAACAGACGACAUUGGACACUUGGCACAUCCACCACGCCUCUCUUACGCAGCCAACCAACCCCUCCUUUUCUUCCCCCAAAAACAUUACCAGAUCAGGAAUACCCCCUAAAAUUAAUACAAAAAUUAAAUACUACAGCUUUCAUUGAAUCACCACCAAACAAUAGGCAAACAUGAACUUCAAGAAUUUCGGCAACGAUCCUGGCCCUGCUGCCGGAGGAAGCGGAGAUGCUGGUGGGAGACCGCCGGGGAAUUUCCCCCUGACACGGCAACCUUCCGUGUACAAUCUGACGUUCGAUGAGUUCAUGAACACCAUGGGAGGUUCAGGAAAGGACUUCGGCUCCAUGAACAUGGAUGAACUUCUUAAAAACAUAUGGACCGCCGAAGAGGUUCAAACUAUGGCGUCUGCCACGGGUGUCGGUGGAGAACCGGGCUCCGCAGGCUUCGGCGGUGCCGGCAUCAACAAUUUGCAGAGGCAGGGAUCCUUGACGCUCCCACGAACCCUGAGUCAGAAGACAGUGGACGAGGUCUGGAAAGACAUUUCGAAGGAGUACGGCGGAGGGUCGACCGGUGGCGGCGGCGGCGGGCCGAAUCCCGCGCAGACGACGCAGCGGCAGCCGACGUUGAAAGAGAUCACGCUGGAGGAGUUCUUGGUGAGAGCAGGUGUUGUUAGAGAAGACGCGCAAUUGGCAGCUGCUGGGAAAGCAAACGACAGCGUUUUUGUUGAUUUGUCUCGUGGUGGAGGGAAUAGUGGCGGUUUAGGAGUAGGGUUUCAGCAAUUGAACAAGGUACCAGGGUUGAUGGGUGAUAGUGUUGGUGUGAACAACAAUGAUCCUCUGGUUGGUCUUCAGCCAAGAACAAAUUUGCCUGUGAAUGUUAAUGGGGUUAGGUCUUCCAAUCAGCAGAUGCAGAUCCAGAAUUCACAGUCCCCUCAUCAGCAUCAGUCUCAGAUAUUCCCCAAACAAGCUCCUAUGAGCUAUGCUAUGCCUCUUGUGCAAGGUGGAGGAGGAGGGAUGGGGAUGGUUGGUUUGUCACCUGGGCCUGUUCAUGUUGCUACUGGCUCGCCGGCUAGCCAGAUUUCCAAUGAUAAGAUGGCAAAGAGCAAUGGAGAUACUUCUUCGGUUUCUCCGGUGCCGUAUGUAUUUAACGGUGGCCUCAGGGGACGGAAGAGCGGUGGAGCAGUUGAAAAGGUGAUUGAGAGGAGGCAGAGGAGAAUGAUCAAGAACAGAGAGUCGGCAGCUAGGUCCCGCGCUCGAAAGCAGAUAAGCAGAAGAAUGGUAAUGUGAUAGACAUGAAGAAAGGUGAAAGAUUUUGAGAAGUCAUGAGAAGGUGUAAGAAUUCCAGGUUAUUUACAAGGCUUAUACCAUGGAAUUAGAAGCAGAAGUUCAAAAGUUGAAAGAGGAGAACCAAGAACUUCAGAAAAAGCAGGAAGAAAUCAUGGAAAUUCAGAAAAAUCAAGUUAUGGAAAUGAUGAAUUUGCAACAAAACGGCAAGAGAAGAUGCUUAAGACGAACACAAACUGGUCCAUGGUAGAGUGAAAGAUUGGAUUAUGAUCUCACAGUUGAAAUCUAUGUAUAUAAAAUAUAAAAAUUGUGUUGUAGAUUGAGUCUCUUGUAGAUUUAGAUUAGCACUUGAAAAGCAUGAUCUAUUGUUUCUCUUAUUAAAACAUCAUGCCCAGUUAGGGAGGUUGAGCACAAUACCAUCAGAAUAUGUUUCAGCAUGCGUCCAAUUUCAUGCCAUCGUUGGUUACAUCAUUUUUAUUUUCUUUUCUUUUUACGCGCCAUUGUUCAGUAGAAUCCGAAUUUGAUUCGGUGAGAGAUUGAAGCGUUUGUAUUCAAUAUAUGCCUUUCUCGUUUUCGGAC
Arachis stenosperma is the source of this 1987-nucleotide RNA transcript. It is a transcript of the gene named bZIP transcription factor 23, with no coding region annotated. The transcript has 6 exons. Lineage: Eukaryota; Viridiplantae; Streptophyta; Magnoliopsida; Fabales; Fabaceae. The record is from RefSeq and is a predicted model, not a curated record.